RNAcentral lists this ribosomal RNA (460 nucleotides) under uncultured bacterium. RNAcentral describes it as "partial 16S ribosomal RNA". It matches the Rfam family "Bacterial small subunit ribosomal RNA", at positions 338 to 795 of the family's 1533-position model. The record is from RNAcentral.
CCUACGGGGGGCAGCAGUGAGGAAUAUUGGUCAAUGGACGAGAGUCUGAACCAGCCAAGUAGCGUGAAGGAUGACUGCCCUAUGGGUGGUAAACUUCUUUUAUAUGGGAAUAAAAUGUUCCACGUGUGGCAUUUUGUAUGUACCUUAUGAAUAACGAUCGGCUAACUCCGUGCCAGCAGCCGCGGUAAUACGGUGUGUCCGAGCGUUAUCCGGAUUUAUUGGGUUUAAAGGGUGCGUAGUUGGGUUGUUAAGUGAGUUGUGAAAUUUUGCGGCUCAACCGUGAAAUUGCAGUUGAAACUGGCAGGCUUGAGUACAGUAGAGGUGGGCGGAAUUCGUGGUGUAGCGGUGAAAUGCUUAGAUAUCACGAAGAACUCCGAUUGCGAAGGCAGCUCACUGGACUGCAACUGACACUGAGGCUCGAAAGUGUGGGUAUCAAACAGGAUUAGAUACCCGUGUAGUC